RNAcentral lists this long non-coding RNA (747 nucleotides) under Monodelphis domestica (gray short-tailed opossum). Its description in RNAcentral is "lncRNA (ENSMODG00000050884.1)". The record is from RNAcentral. Lineage: Eukaryota; Metazoa; Chordata; Mammalia; Didelphimorphia; Didelphidae.
ACCUGUCUCUUUACUGGUUUAUCUUCUGAUUUAGGAGGCUUAAUUUUCCAUGGCUCCUAGAGCCAGGCUGAUUGCAUUAGGGGCUGGAGCCCCUGGCAUGAUCUGUCUGAGUCUGCAGGGUCCCUUUCCCCAAUCAAGCAUGUGACAUUCCUUUAGCCUUAGUUUGGAUGGGGAUGUGAGAAAGGAUGGGGAGAAAAGGACCUGAGAUCUCUGCUGGAGGCUAAUGGGAUUGCAGGUCCUGUACCCUGUGGGAAUGGGAAUUGACCCUACUCAGAUCUGCUUCACUGAAAAGUCUAUGCCAAGUUCUCUGGAGAGGAAUGUUGGAGAGUGCGGCUGGGUUGCUGCCUGCAUCUAUCUCAUCACCUUGACUCUGGCCCCAGCAGCUCUUCAAUGUCAGGUUUUUGAAGGUCACUCAGGAAUGAUUGCUGAGAGAUUGUCCUCUUCUGGGUGCUGUAUUUGAAUGGGUGAAGAAUGUAGAGAGGAAUAAGACUGAAGACCCGACUUCAUGUUGCUUCUAGUCAUGUAGGGUACAUAGCACAGGUAUACAAGAACCUUGGCACAUAGAGUAGGACCCUCUUAUCUACAGGGUUGUUUUUCCUGGUUUCAGUUGUCUCUGGUCAACCUGAAGCACUGGAGGUCUUCCUAAGAAGGACCAGAAGUCUGCCUGUGGCAGUGCUCUGAUCUGAAGCCUCUCUUCUGCUUCCACUUUCACUUUUGUGUGUGGGUAUGAUGGUGGAGGGAAUGGGA